UGUCCAUUGGCCCGGCAAAACGGGCAUAGGUUCUUUCAUGCUCCAGAUAGGGAAGUUCGAUUCUUCCGUGGUUCA
This 75-nucleotide transfer RNA is filed under the name Deltaproteobacteria bacterium ADurb.Bin151. RNAcentral's name for it is "tRNA-Glu". Lineage: Bacteria; Deltaproteobacteria. The record is from RNAcentral.